RNAcentral lists this unclassified non-coding RNA (1061 nucleotides) under Penaeus japonicus. Its description in RNAcentral is "l-threonine ammonia-lyase-like, transcript variant X1". The record is from RNAcentral. Lineage: Eukaryota; Metazoa; Arthropoda; Malacostraca; Decapoda; Penaeidae.
GACCUUAAGCAUCCGCCUCCUCCUUCAGGUACGACCACCCGCACAUCCUCGCCGGGCAGGGCACGAUGGGCCUGGAGAUCGUGGAGCAGGUGCCCAACAUCGACGCCGUGGUGAUCCCUGUGGGCGGAGGCGGCCUCAUUGCAGGGGUGGCGCUGGCGGUCAAGGCGUUGCAUCCGCACGUGCAAGUUAUUGGCGUGGAGGCCGAGCGCUGCGCCAGCUUCAGCGCCGCCCUCAAGGCAGGCCACCCCGUCUACGUGAAGGCGGAAUCCACGCUCGCCGACGGUCUGGCGGUGCCCAAAGUCGGGGUCAACGCCUUCGCCACGGCUGCCCCGCUCGUCGAUAAGGUGGUGACAGUGCGUGAGGAGUGGAUCGCCAUCUCCAUCCUGCGUCUGGUGGAGCACGAGAAGGCCGUGGUGGAGGGAGCAGGAGCCACCGCCCUCGCCGCCGUCCUGGCUGGGGAGCUUCCUGAACUGAAGGGCAAGAGGGUCGUCAUACCGUUGUGCGGAGGCAACAUCGACACCACAAUCCUCGGUCGCUGCCUGGAGAGGGGCCUGGCGGCGGACGGCCGUCUCGUCAAAUUCACCGUCACCGUCAGCGACAGACCCGGAGGUAUUGCUGAGCUGACGAGACUGCUGGCCAACUUGGGCGUUUCCAUCAAGGACAUGUUGCACGAAAGAGCUUGGAUUAAGAACGACAUCUUCAGUGUUGAGGUGAAGGUGCUCUGUGAGACGCGCGACAGGGACCACUCUGAGGAACUGCGCUCGGCUCUCUACCAGCGCUACAAGAUCCUCCGCUUCGGCAGCCAAGCGGUCACGCCGGCGGACGCCUCGCACAGGGAAUAGCUCUUCCGUCCACCCAUCUCCUCCCCUCCACUCACUCCCCCCAACCUCUUCUUGCUCGCGCGCUCUUCUCUCGCUAUCCCGUGAAGGUCAUGGCAGAAACUCGAGACCAUGAGCAUUACUUGGAGCUUCGAGCUGCUCUUUUCUCAAGAUACCAGUACGUCCGCUUCGCCAACGCCGAUCAGAUCCACGACUAGAGAUCAAGUGGAGAUUCUUGAAUGA